Molecule: ribosomal RNA, 283 nt
Filed under: Escherichia coli
Lineage: Bacteria; Pseudomonadati; Pseudomonadota; Gammaproteobacteria; Enterobacterales; Enterobacteriaceae
Description: partial 16S ribosomal RNA
Rfam family: Bacterial small subunit ribosomal RNA
Source: RNAcentral
AAAUUGAAGAGUUUGAUCAUGGCUCAGAUUGAACGCUGGCGGCAGGCCUAACACAUGCAAGUCGAACGGUAACAGGAAACAGCUUGCUGUUUCGCUGACGAGUGGCGGACGGGUGAGUAAUGUCUGGGAAACUGCCUGAUGGAGGGGGAUAACUACUGGAAACGGUAGCUAAUACCGCAUAACGUCGCAAGACCAAAGAGGGGGACCUUCGGGCCUCUUGCCAUCGGAUGUGCCCAGAUGGGAUUAGCUAGUAGGUGGGGUAACGGCUCACCUAGGCGACGAU